GUCGGGUUAGCUUAAUGGUAAAGCUUUCGUCUUGUAAACGAGGUAUGGUGGUUCGAUUCCGCUACCCGGCU
Non-coding RNA from Rhizophagus irregularis, 71 nucleotides. The record is from Rfam. NCBI's taxonomy places the organism in Eukaryota, Fungi, Glomeromycota, Glomeromycetes, Glomerales, Glomeraceae.